AGUUAUCUAAAUUAGUAGUAUAGUUGCUUUGAAAUGUAUUAAAAAUAUUUUGGUUUUUAAAGUUAAAGAUAUCAAUCAUUUGAUAAGGGGUAACUAGUCAAGAAUAUAUCUGUCAUUCAGUAGACGAGUUUUUUGCAAAAUUAUAAGCAGUUCUUAGAUAUUCAGUUUGUUUUUGACUAAAGGUUGGUUCGUCAUAACCGUUUGGUAAGAUAUAAAAAUUAUCCUGAUUAUUAUUUAGAUAAAAUGUUUCUACAUUAGCUUCAUUUCCAGCUGGUUGUAAUAACCUUUUUGUAUUCAGAUAGAAAGCUAAAUUGUUUGCUGACGAAGUAGACUGUGAGCUUACAAUACUACCACCAAUAAUUAAAGGCGAGAUGAUUGUUAAUGGGAUCGCUAAGGCAAUCUUUCCAUUGAAUUUAUAACCGAUGAUUGAAGCAAACAACCCAAAAAUUAAAAAAGCAAAAAAGAAAACCGUAAAUGAAAGUAACACAAUCAGUGUUAAGUUUGUUUCUUUUAGAUUUAAAACUAAAAUUAGAUUGCUAACCAUCAUUAAUAUUGCUCAAUAACAAUCAAAAAUAAUAAAAACGAUAAAUUUAGCAAUAAAAAUAUCCCUUCGGUUAAUCGGUUUACUAUAUGUAAGUAAUUCCAAUCCUUCUUCUUCUAAAUCUUUAUAAAUAUUUAAUGCUUUUAAACUCGCAUAAAAGAUUGUUAGAAUCAUUUCAGCAAAGAUAAUUGCAUAAAUAGUAAAGUUCUUAAAACGAUCUGGAAUCUGAACUACUGAUAAUAUAAUGCUAAAGAUAAUUGCUAAAGCAAAAAAGACAAUUGGUAAGACGUAACUGCUUUUCUUUUUUAACAUAAUUUUAUGUAAAAAAUAUACAUAACUUUUUACUGAUUUCAUAUUAACUACUAAAUGAUAAUAAUAAGUGGAAUAAUCAACGAUUGCGUAUGUUUUAAAUAAUUAAUAAUUUAGUAG
This 970-nucleotide non-coding RNA is filed under the name Mycoplasmoides gallisepticum S6. Lineage: Bacteria; Bacillati; Mycoplasmatota; Mycoplasmoidales; Mycoplasmoidaceae. The record is from RNAcentral.